Molecule: ribosomal RNA, 453 nt
Filed under: uncultured bacterium
Lineage: Bacteria
Description: bacterial SSU rRNA
Rfam family: Bacterial small subunit ribosomal RNA
Source: RNAcentral
AAUGAACGUUGGCGGCAUGGAUUAGGCAUGCAAGUCGAGCGAGAAGCCGUUUUUUUGCUUGCAUUAAGGGUGGACAGCGGCGAAAGGGAGAGUAACGCGUAGAAAUGUACCCCAAGAUCCGGGAUAGCUGCGGGAAACUGCAGGUAAUACCGGAUAAUGUCUCCGGACCAAAGUUUUUCGUCUUGGGAGCAGUCUGCGUACUAUUAGCUUGUUGGUGGGGUAAUGGCCUACCAAGGCUCAGAUGGUUAGCGGGCGUGAGAGCGUGGCCCGUCUCACUGGGACUGAGACACUGCCCAGACGUCUACGGACGGCUGCAGUCGAGAAUCUUCCGCAAUGGACGAAAGUCUGACGGAGCGAUGCCGCGUGGUGGAUGAAGGCCCUCGGGUUGUAAACACCUGUCAGUAGGGAGGAAAUUUUGACCGAUCUACAGAGGAAGUCCGGGCUAAGUACGUG